AUGUCAGUUUCCACUCCAGCUUUCACCAGGGAAGGUCGUGGCCGGGGAGCAUAAAAUGCUGUCGCACUCCAGCGACAGUCCGGAACCUGAGCGUGAAUUUACAACCAUGCCCCGACACAGAGAAAGGAAGUCAAACAGAACUCAUGACCAGACAUCCCCAGGCAGAAGACACGGGCGACUUCUCUGUGCAGAGAUGAUUUGUCGGCUACUUAAAUAUGGAAAGUGUUUCAGGGGACUAGAGAAAUUGCAAUAGGGAACUCAGCUCUUAUGUUAUGACACCAAACACAAUUCUUUCCAGUUUUAACUCCAAGAAGCCUCUUUAAAAUAUCAGCACCAAUGAGGAACCCUGAAUCUUGUCUCUUUUGUCACAUUUUAGAAUAUAAGAUUCUCACUUGCCUUUUUCUCCUUCCCAUUGACUCAGCAAGUAUUUAAUGAGUACCUACUAUGUGCUCUCAAAUAUCAGCAUCCACAGAACAGCAAGGACUUUGCUUUCAUGGAGUUUCCUUCCUAGCUGGGGAGGGGAGGGGAGGUGCUGGCUUUGAACUAGCUUGGUGAACGCGUGUUCCAGAUAAAGUCAAGUCUCCAUGUGGCAUUCCAGAUUUACACAGGAUAAAUCGGGAUGUGAUAAUUUGCUUCAAAAAAAGAUUCAAUAUUUUACUAAAAAAAAAAAAUUCACAGAAGGAUUCCCUUUAAAUCUAUAAAACUCCUGUAGCCCUAUCACCACCCACCAAAUCGUUUUAUUUAUUCUGAAAUUUUGAAUACUCCAGUUACUUUUAAAUGGAGUGUCCCUCCAUCGUUCCAGAGGACAUCCCCCGGGGACCACCUCAGGCAGAGAGUCACUUCCCCUGGGAGGAGCACACUGCAUGGAAGCCCUGCCAAAGACAGGGCCACACUCAACAGGGCCUUGGGAGGGGCUGCUCCCCAGAAGGUGACGGGAAGGUCUGGAAAAGGCACCUUGGGGACUAUAUUCUUGAUGGCCUCCCUAGAAUCUCUGUGAACCCUCGAAUCCAGGGCAAAGAAAAAUGUAGAGUCAGGACAGAUUUUUCUGUUAUUUUUCUUGAUGUUUCCCAUUGACAGGAAUGAGGACAAAAGAGAAAAAAAACAAGAUCAAUGAACACAGUUUUAAAAACCAAAACCUGGUGAGGUGAAGAUGUCAUUUUUUUUUCUUUCCUGACACUCUCAGC
This 1184-nucleotide long non-coding RNA is filed under the name Marmota monax (woodchuck). Lineage: Eukaryota; Metazoa; Chordata; Mammalia; Rodentia; Sciuridae. The record is from RNAcentral.